UACGUAGGGUGCAAGCGUUGUCCGGAUUUAUUGGGCGUAAAGAGCUCGUAGGCGGUCUGUCGCGUCGGAUGUGAAAACCCAGGGCUCAACCCUGGGCCUGCAUUCGAUACGGGCAGACUAGAGUCCGGAAGAGGAGAGUGGAAUUCCUGGUGUAGCGGUGAAAUGCGCAGAUAUCAGGAAGAACACCCGUGGCUAAGGCGGCUCUCUAGUACGGUACUGACGCUGAGACGCGAAAGCGUGGGGAGCGAACAGG
Molecule: ribosomal RNA, 253 nt
Filed under: uncultured bacterium
Lineage: Bacteria
Description: partial 16S ribosomal RNA
Rfam family: Bacterial small subunit ribosomal RNA
Source: RNAcentral